RNAcentral lists this unclassified non-coding RNA (153 nucleotides) under uncultured Dictyosporium. RNAcentral's name for it is "sequence contains ITS2". The record is from RNAcentral. Lineage: Eukaryota; Fungi; Ascomycota; Dothideomycetes; Pleosporales.
AACCCUUCAAGCAUUGCUUGGUGUUGGGUGUUUGUCUAUGCCGAUGGCGUGGACUCGCCCUAAAAGUAUUGGCAGCGGUUUGCCGGCCUCUCGCGCAGCACUUUGCGCUCUUUGAGGUUUUGGCGGGCUUGACUUCCAUCAAGAUCUUUACUA